CGAAGGGGGCUAGCGUUGCUCGGAAUUACUGGGCGUAGAGGGAGCGUAGGCGGGUUAUCAAGUUGGAGGUGAAAGCCCAGGGCUCAACCUUGGAAUUGCCUUCAAAACUGAUAGCCUAGAGUAUGAUAGAGGUAAGUGGAACUCCGAGUGUAGAGGUGAAAUUCGUAGAUAUUCGGAAGAACACCAGUGGCGAAGGCGACUUACUGGAUCAUGACUGACGCUGAGGCUCGAAAGCGUGGGGAGCAAACAGGAUUAGAUACCCUGGUAGUCCACGCUGUAAACGAUGAUUGCUAGUUGUCAGCCGGCAUGCCGGUUGGUGACGCAGCUAACGCAUUAAGCAAUCCGCCUGGGGAGUACGGUCGCAAGAUUA
This 370-nucleotide ribosomal RNA is filed under the name uncultured organism. Its description in RNAcentral is "bacterial SSU rRNA". It matches the Rfam family "Bacterial small subunit ribosomal RNA", at positions 526 to 896 of the family's 1533-position model. The record is from RNAcentral.